This 380-nucleotide ribosomal RNA is filed under the name uncultured bacterium. RNAcentral describes it as "bacterial SSU rRNA". It matches the Rfam family "Bacterial small subunit ribosomal RNA", at positions 1010 to 1390 of the family's 1533-position model. The record is from RNAcentral.
GCUUUCCCCUUCGGGGGACAAAGUGACAGGUGGUGCAUGGUUGUCGUCAGCUCGUGUCGUGAGAUGUUGGGUUAAGUCCCGCAACGAGCGCAACCCUUAAGCUUAGUUGCCAUCAUUAAGUUGGGCACUCUAAGUUGACUGCCGGUGACAAACCGGAGGAAGGUGGGGAUGACGUCAAAUCAUCAUGCCCCUUAUGAUUUGGGCUACACACGUGCUACAAUGGACAAUACAAAGGGCAGCGAAACCGUGAGGUCAAGCAAAUCCCAUAAAGUUGUUCUCAGUUCGGAUUGUAGUCUGCAACUCGACUACAUGAAGCUGGAAUCGCUAGUAAUCGUAGAUCAGCAUGCUACGGUGAAUACGUUCCCGGGUCUUGUACACAC